RNAcentral lists this ribosomal RNA (497 nucleotides) under uncultured bacterium. RNAcentral describes it as "partial 16S ribosomal RNA". It matches the Rfam family "Bacterial small subunit ribosomal RNA", at positions 28 to 507 of the family's 1533-position model. The record is from RNAcentral.
GACGAACGCUGGCGGCGUGCCUAAUACAUGCAAGUUGAGCGAUGAAGAUUGGUGCUUGCACCAAUUUGAAGAGCAGCGAACGGGUGAGUAACGCGUGGGGAAUCUGCCUUUGAGCGGGGGACAACAUUUGGAAACGAAUGCUAAUACCGCAUAACAACUUUAAACAUAAGUUUUAAGUUUGAAAGAUGCAAUUGCAUCACUCAAAGAUGAUCCCGCGUUGUAUUAGCUAGUUGGUGAGGUAAAGGCUCACCAAGGCGAUGAUACAUAGCCGACCUGAGAGGGUGAUCGGCCACAUUGAGACUGAGACACGGCCCAAACGCCUACGGAAGGCAGCAGUAGGGAAUCUUCGGCAAUGGACGAAAGUCUGACCGAGCAACGCCGCGUGAGUGAAGAAGGGUUUCGGAUCGUAAAACUCUGUUGGUAGAGAAGAACGUUGGUGAGAGUGGAAAGCUCAUCAAGUGACGGUAACUACCCAGAAAGGGACGGCUAACUACGUG